GCUGUGAGCUCGAUGAGUAGGGCGGGACACGUGGUAUCCUGUCUGAAUAUGGGGGGACCAUCCUCCAAGGCUAAAUACUCCUGACUGACCGAUAGUGAACCAGUACCGUGAGGGAAAGGCGAAAAGAACCCCGGCGAGGGGAGUGAAAAAGAACCUGAAACCGUGUACGUACAAGCAGUGGGAGCCUCUUUAUGGGGUGACUGCGUACCUUUUGUAUAAUGGGUCAGCGACUUAUAUUCUGUAGCAAGGUUAACCGAAUAGGGGAGCCGAAGGGAAACCGAGUCUUAACUGGGCGUUAAGUUGCAGGGUAUAGACCCGAAACCCGGUGAUCUAGCCAUGGGCAGGUUGAAGGUUGGGUAACACUAACUGGAGGACCGAACCGACUAAUGUUGAAAAAUUAGCGGAUGACUUGUGGCUGGGGGUGAAAGGCCAAUCAAACCGGGAGAUAGCUGGUUCUCCCCGAAAGCUAUUUAGGUAGCGCCUCGUGAAUUCAUCUCCGGGGGUAGAGCACUGUUUCGGCAAGGGGGUCAUCCCGACUUACCAACCCGAUGCAAACUGCGAAUACCGGAGAAUGUUAUCACGGGAGACACACGGCGGGUGCUAACGUCCGUCGUGAAGAGGGAAACAACCCAGACCGCCAGCUAAGGUCCCAAAGUCAUGGUUAAGUGGGAAACGAUGUGGGAAGGCCCAGACAGCCAGGAUGUUGGCUUAGAAGCAGCCAUCAUUUAAAGAAAGCGUAAUAGCUCACUGGUCGAGUCGGCCUGCGCGGAAGAUGUAACGGGGCUAAACCAUGCACCGAAGCUGCGGCAGCGACGCUUAUGCGUUGUUGGGUAGGGGAGCGUUCUGUAAGCCUGCGAAGGUGUACUGUGAGGUAUGCUGGAGGUAUCAGAAGUGCGAAUGCUGACAUAAGUAACGAUAAAGCGGGUGAAAAGCCCGCUCGCCGGAAGACCAAGGGUUCCUGUCCAACGUUAAUCGGGGCAGGGUGAGUCGACCCCUAAGGCGAGGCCGAAAGGCGUAGUCGAUGGGAAACAGGUUAAUAUUCCUGUACUUGGUGUUACUGCGAAGGGGGGACGGAGAAGGCUAUGUUGGCCGGGCGACGGUUGUCCCGGUUUAAGCGUGUAGGCUGGUUUUCCAGGCAAAUCCGGAAAAUCAAGGCUGAGGCGUGAUGACGAGGCACUACGGUGCUGAAGCAACAAAUGCCCUGCUUCCAGGAAAAGCCUCUAAGCAUCAGGUAACAUCAAAUCGUACCCCAAACCGACACAGGUGGUCAGGUAGAGAAUACCAAGGCGCUUGAGAGAACUCGGGUGAAGGAACUAGGCAAAAUGGUGCCGUAACUUCGGGAGAAGGCACGCUGAUAUGUAGGUGAAGUCCCUUGCGGAUGGAGCUGAAAUCAGUCGAAGAUACCAGCUGGCUGCAACUGUUUAUUAAAAACACAGCACUGUGCAAACACGAAAGUGGACGUAUACGGUGUGACGCCUGCCCGGUGCCGGAAGGUUAAUUGAUGGGGUUAGCGGUAACGCGAAGCUCUUGAUCGAAGCCCCGGUAAACGGCGGCCGUAACUAUAACGGUCCUAAGGUAGCGAAAUUCCUUGUCGGGUAAGUUCCGACCUGCACGAAUGGCGUAAUGAUGGCCAGGCUGUCUCCACCCGAGACUCAGUGAAAUUGAACUCGCUGUGAAGAUGCAGUGUACCCGCGGCAAGACGGAAAGACCCCGUGAACCUUUACUAUAGCUUGACACUGAACAUUGAGCCUUGAUGUGUAGGAUAGGUGGGAGGCUUUGAAGUGUGGACGCCAGUCUGCAUGGAGCCGACCUUGAAAUACCACCCUUUAAUGUUUGAUGUUCUAACGUUGGCCCCUAAUCGGGGUUGCGGACAGUGUCUGGUGGGUAGUUUGACUGGGGCGGUCUCCUCCUAAAGAGUAACGGAGGAGCACGAAGGUUGGCUAAUCCUGGUCGGACAUCAGGAGGUUAGUGCAAUGGCAUAAGCCAGCUUGACUGCGAGCGUGACGGCGCGAGCAGGUGCGAAAGCAGGUCAUAGUGAUCCGGUGGUUCUGAAUGGAAGGGCCAUCGCUCAACGGAUAAAAGGUACUCCGGGGAUAACAGGCUGAUACCGCCCAAGAGUUCAUAUCGACGGCGGUGUUUGGCACCUCGAUGUCGGCUCAUCACAUCCUGGGGCUGAAGUAGGUCCCAAGGGUAUGGCUGUUCGCCAUUUAAAGUGGUACGCGAGCUGGGUUUAGAACGUCGUGAGACAGUUCGGUCCCUAUCUGCCGUGGGCGCUGGAGAACUGAGGGGGGCUGCUCCUAGUACGAGAGGACCGGAGUGGACGCAUCACUGGUGUUCGGGUUGUCAUGCCAAUGGCACUGCCCGGUAGCUAAAUGCGGAAGAGAUAAGUGCUGAAAGCAUCUAAGCACGAAACUUGCCCCGAGAUGAGUUCUCCCUGACUCCCUGAGAGUCCUGAAGGAACGUUGAAGACGACGACGUUGAUAGGCCGGGUGUGUAAGCGCAGCGAUGCGUUGAGCUAACCGGUACUAAUGAACCGUGAGGCUUAACCUUACAACGCCGAAG
Molecule: ribosomal RNA, 2562 nt
Filed under: Escherichia coli
Lineage: Bacteria; Pseudomonadati; Pseudomonadota; Gammaproteobacteria; Enterobacterales; Enterobacteriaceae
Description: partial 23S ribosomal RNA
Rfam family: Bacterial large subunit ribosomal RNA
Source: RNAcentral